GACGAACGCUGGCGGCGUGCCUAAUACAUGCAAGUAGAACGCUGAAGGAGGAGCUUGCUCUUCUGGAUGAGUUGCGAACGGGUGAGUAACGCGUAGGUAACCUGCCUGGUAGCGGGGGAUAACUAUUGGAAACGAUAGCUAAUACCGCAUAUCAGUAGAUGUUGCAUGACAUUUACUUAAAAGGUGCAAUUGCAUCACUACCAGAUGGACCUGCGUUGUAUUAGCUAGUUGGUGGGGUAACGGCUCACCAAGGCGACGAUACAUAGCCGACCUGAGAGGGUGAUCGGCCACACUGGGACUGAGACACGGCCCAGACUCCUACGGGAGGCAGCAGUAGGGAAUCUUUGGCAAUGGACGGAAGUCUGACCGAGCAACGCCGCGUGAGUGAAGAAGGUUUUCGGAUCGUAAAGCUCUGUUGUAAGAGAAGAACGAGUGUGAGAGUGGAAAGUUCACACUGUGACGGUAUCUUACCAGAAAGGGACGGCUAACUACGUG
This 495-nucleotide ribosomal RNA is filed under the name uncultured bacterium. RNAcentral describes it as "partial 16S ribosomal RNA". It matches the Rfam family "Bacterial small subunit ribosomal RNA", at positions 28 to 507 of the family's 1533-position model. The record is from RNAcentral.